UUGCAUUACGUACCAAAAUACAUACGAGCUAAUCUUUUGCCUUUUACUAAAGAUUACCGUGGAGAGGAACAUUAAGCUCUUCAAUUAUUUGUUUAGAUCAUUUAUUUUUCAUGUUA
This 116-nucleotide small nuclear RNA is filed under the name Stegodyphus mimosarum. RNAcentral's name for it is "U5 spliceosomal RNA". It matches the Rfam family "U5 spliceosomal RNA". From Rfam's summary of the family: U5 RNA is a component of both types of known spliceosome. The precise function of this molecule is unknown, though it is known that the 5' loop is required for splice site selection and p220 binding, and that both the 3' stem-loop and the Sm site are important for Sm protein binding and cap methylation. Lineage: Eukaryota; Metazoa; Arthropoda; Arachnida; Araneae; Eresidae. The record is from Rfam by way of RNAcentral.